Molecule: ribosomal RNA, 397 nt
Filed under: uncultured bacterium
Lineage: Bacteria
Description: partial 16S ribosomal RNA
Rfam family: Bacterial small subunit ribosomal RNA
Source: RNAcentral
AAUCUUGCGCAAUGGGCGAACGCCUGACGCAGCCAUGCCGCGUGCAUGAUGAAGGUCUNCGGAUUNUNAAAUUCUUUCACCGGGGNCGAUAAUGACGGUACCCGGAGAAGAAGCCCCGGCUAACUUCGUGCCCGCAGCCGCGGUAAUACGAAGGGGGCUAGCGUUGCUCGGAAUUACUGGGCGUAAAGGGCGCGUAGGCGGAUCGUUAAGUCAGAGGUGAGAUCCCAGGGCUCAACACUGGAACAGCCUUUGAUACUGGCGAUGUUGAGUAUGAAAGAGGUAUGUGGAACUCCGAGUGUAGAGGUGAAAUUCGUAGAUAUUCGGAAGAACACCAGUGGCGAAGGCGACAUACUGGCUCAUUACUGACGCUGAGGCGCGAAAGCGUGGGGAGCAAACA